This 609-nucleotide long non-coding RNA is filed under the name Oreochromis niloticus (Nile tilapia). RNAcentral's name for it is "lncRNA (ENSONIG00000026339.2)". Lineage: Eukaryota; Metazoa; Chordata; Actinopteri; Cichliformes; Cichlidae. The record is from RNAcentral.
AUGAUCUUGUUGUUGCUUCUAGUUGCCAGUCUUGGUGUGGGCCUUGCUUAUGUUGAAAAUCAUGAAGUGGAGUAUGGAAACAGAUUCAGGAUGAGGGUGUCAAGAAGGGUUCACUUUAUCGAGUUCAUCCCCAAGAACAAAUCAGAAGGGACGAUCUUGUGGAACCGUGACGAAGCUCCGCCCAGAGAGGGCAGUAGAUGGAAGAUGAUUGGGACCUUAUAUACCAUCAAUUCUUUAGCCCAAAAAGACAGUGGCCGCUACAUAUUCAAAGACAACUAUGGGGAAUUGAUGCAUGCGAAGAUCAUUGACGUAAAAGAGGUCACAAAGAGCUAUACCCUGGAGACUAAUGAAGUCCUGAACAUCACUUUUGAUCUGGAACCGCACUCCUGCAACAUUUACUUCUUCCCUGGUGAAAACAGUAAGACUGCGAUAGUCCUUAAGGGCAGGCUGCAGCAUGAUUCGAAACAAGUGGAUUGCGUGGGGUUUGAGCUUUUAAAGCCAUGUGGGAUUGUACACAAGGCCAUCCAAAAGACAUGCAUCGGACGGUUUGAAGUCAGAGAUGAUAAUGAUGACAAAGCCUUGGUAGUGUUCCUGGAAAUGGAAGUUUGA